AAUGAACGUUGGCGGCGUGGAUUAGGCAUGCAAGUCGAGCGAGAAUCUGACUGUUGAAGCUUCGGUGGAUUCAGUCAGAGGACAGCGGCAAACGGCGUAGUUAUGCGUAGGUACGUACCCUCAGGUCGGGGAUAGCCACGGGAAACUGUGGGUAAUACCCGAUGAUGUCUGUGGACCAAAGGUGUGAUUCCGCCUGAGGAGCGGCUUACGUGAUAUUAGCUUGAUGGUGGGGUAAUGGCCUACCAUGGCGACGAUGUCCAGGGGGUGUGAGAGCAUGGCCCCCACGACCGGAACUGAGAUACUGUCCGGACACCUACGGGUGGCUGCAGUCGAGAAUCUUCCGCAAUGGGCGAAAGCCUGACGGAGCGACGCCGCGUGCGGGAUGAAGGCCCUUGGGUUGUAAACCGCUGUCAGAGGGGAUGAAAUCAUGGUUGGUUAUCCUUCCAUGUUGACAGAGCCUCAAAGGAAGCACGGGCUAAGUACG
RNAcentral lists this ribosomal RNA (484 nucleotides) under uncultured Planctomyces sp. RNAcentral's name for it is "bacterial SSU rRNA". It matches the Rfam family "Bacterial small subunit ribosomal RNA", at positions 29 to 505 of the family's 1533-position model. Lineage: Bacteria; Pseudomonadati; Planctomycetota; Planctomycetia; Planctomycetales; Planctomycetaceae. The record is from RNAcentral.